UACGUAGGGGGCAAGCGUUGUCCGGAUUUAUUGGGCGUAAAGAGCGUGUAGGCUGCUCUACAGGUCCGCUGUGAAAACUCGAGGCUCAACCUCGAGACGUCGGUGGAAACCGUAUGGCUAGAGUCCGGAAGAGGAGAGUGGAAUUCCUGGUGUAGCGGUGAAAUGCGCAGAUAUCAGGAAGAACACCAGUGGCGAAGGCGGCUCUCUGGGACGGUACUGACGCUGAGACGCGAAAGCGUGGGGAGCGAACAGG
This 253-nucleotide ribosomal RNA is filed under the name uncultured bacterium. RNAcentral describes it as "partial 16S ribosomal RNA". It matches the Rfam family "Bacterial small subunit ribosomal RNA", at positions 524 to 776 of the family's 1533-position model. The record is from RNAcentral.